Molecule: ribosomal RNA, 569 nt
Filed under: Gadella jordani (Jordan's cod)
Lineage: Eukaryota; Metazoa; Chordata; Actinopteri; Gadiformes; Moridae
Description: partial 16S ribosomal RNA
Rfam family: Bacterial large subunit ribosomal RNA
Source: RNAcentral
CGCCUCUUGCUAUAUGAAGUAUAAGAGGUCCCGCCUGCCCUGUGACAAAAGUUUAACGGCCGCGGUAUUCUAACCGUGCGAAGGUAGCGUAAUCACUUGUUUUUUAAAUGGAGACCAGUAUGAAUGGCAUCACGAGGGCUUGACUGUCUCCCUUCUUUAGUCAAUGAAAUUGACCUUCCCGUGCAGAGGCGGGAAUAAAUAUAUAAGACGAGAAGACCCUGUGGAGCUUUAGACCUAAAGUAAAUCACAUUUAACAUGCUAAAAUAACAGUAAAAAUCUAGUGAAAAUUAUUGAAGUGUCUUUGGUUGGGGCGACCAUGGGGUAAAACAUAACCCCCAUACGGACUGGGGAUAUAAUCCCUAAUACCCAGAGCCUCCGCUCCAAGUAACAGAAUUUCUGACCUUACGAUCCGGUUACCCGAUUAACGAACCGAGUUACCCCAGGGAUAACAGCGCAAUCCCCUCCCAAAGCCCUUAUCGACGAGGGGGUUUACGACCUCGAUGUUGGAUCAGGACAUCCUAAUGGUGCAGCCGCUAUUAAGGGUUCGUUUGUUCAACGAUUAAAGUCCU